Molecule: transfer RNA, 160 nt
Filed under: Vicia faba (fava bean)
Lineage: Eukaryota; Viridiplantae; Streptophyta; Magnoliopsida; Fabales; Fabaceae
Description: tRNA-Phe
Rfam family: tRNA (bases 63-135)
Source: RNAcentral
UUGAGUUGACAUAGACUCAAGUAAUUUCCCUCAAAUUAGGAUGGUGCGUCAAGAUUUUAAUGGUCGGGAUAGCUCAGCCGGUAGAGCAAAGGACUGAAAAUCCUUGUGUCACCAGUUCAAAUCUGGUUCCCGGCGACUCAUUAUGUAUGAGUAUCUAUUG